This 2924-nucleotide ribosomal RNA is filed under the name Staphylococcus sp. HMSC055A09. RNAcentral's name for it is "bacterial LSU rRNA". It matches the Rfam family "Bacterial large subunit ribosomal RNA". Lineage: Bacteria; Bacillati; Bacillota; Bacilli; Caryophanales; Staphylococcaceae. The record is from RNAcentral.
AGAUUAAGUUAUUAAGGGCGCACGGUGGAUGCCUUGGCACUAGAAGCCGAAGAAGGACGUUACUAACGACGAUAUGCUUUGGGUAGCUGUAAGUAAGCGUUGAUCCAGAGAUUUCCGAAUGGGGGAACCCAACAUGAGUUAUGUCAUGUUAUCGACAUGUGAAUUCAUAGCAUGUCAGAAGGCAGACCCGGAGAACUGAAACAUCUUAGUACCCGGAGGAAGAGAAAGAAAAAUCGAUUCCCUGAGUAGCGGCGAGCGAAACGGGAAGAGCCCAAACCAACAAGCUUGCUUGUUGGGGUUGUAGGACACUCUAUACGGAGUUACAAAAGAACAUGUUAGACGAAUCAUCUGGAAAGAUGAAUCAAAGAAGGUAAUAAUCCUGUAGUCGAAAACAUAUUCUCUCUUGAGUGGAUCCUGAGUACGACGGAGCACGUGAAAUUCCGUCGGAAUCUAGGAGGACCAUCUCCUAAGGCUAAAUACUCUCUAGUGACCGAUAGUGAACCAGUACCGUGAGGGAAAGGUGAAAAGUACCCCGGAAGGGGAGUGAAAGAGAACUUGAAACCGUGUGCUUACAAGUAGUCAGAGCCCGUUUAUGGGUGAUGGCGUGCCUUUUGUAGAAUGAACCGGCGAGUUACGAUCUGAUGCAAGGUUAAGCAGCGAAUGUGGAGCCGUAGCGAAAGCGAGUCUGAAUAGGGCGUUGAGUAUUUGGUCGUAGACCCGAAACCAGGUGAUCUACCCUUGGUCAGGUUGAAGUUCAGGUAACACUGAAUGGAGGACCGAACCGACUUACGUUGAAAAGUGAGCGGAUGAACUGAGGGUAGCGGAGAAAUUCCAAUCGAACUUGGAGAUAGCUGGUUCUCUCCGAAAUAGCUUUAGGGCUAGCCUCAAGUGAUGAUUAUUGGAGGUAGAGCACUGUUUGGACGAGGGGCCCCUCUCGGGUUACCGAAUUCAGACAAACUCCGAAUGCCAAUCAAUUUAACUUGGGAGUCAGAACAUGGGUGAUAAGGUCCGUGUUCGAAAGGGAAACAGCCCAGACCACCAGCUAAGGUCCCAAAAUAUAUGUUAAGUGGAAAAGGAUGUGGCGUUGCCCAGACAACUAGGAUGUUGGCUUAGAAGCAGCCAUCAUUUAAAGAGUGCGUAAUAGCUCACUAGUCGAGUGACACUGCGCCGAAAAUGUACCGGGGCUAAACAUAUUACCGAAGCUGUGGAUUGUCCUUCGGACAAUGGUAGGAGAGCGUUCUAAGGGCGUUGAAGCAUGAUCGCAAGGACAUGUGGAGCGCUUAGAAGUGAGAAUGCCGGUGUGAGUAGCGAAAGACGGGUGAGAAUCCCGUCCACCGAUUGACUAAGGUUUCCAGAGGAAGGCUCGUCCGCUCUGGGUUAGUCGGGUCCUAAGCUGAGGCCGACAGGCGUAGGCGAUGGAUAACAGGUUGAUAUUCCUGUACCACCUAGUAUCGUUUUAAUCGAUGGGGGGACGCAGUAGGAUAGGCGAAGCGUGCUGUUGGAGUGCACGUCCAAGCAGUAAGGCUGAGUGUUAGGCAAAUCCGGCACUCGUUAGGCUGAGCUGUGAUGGGGAGAGGAAAUUGUUUCCUCGAGUCGUUGAUUUCACACUGCCGAGAAAAGCCUCUAGAUAGAUAACAGGUGCCCGUACCGCAAACCGACACAGGUAGUCAAGAUGAGAAUUCUAAGGUGAGCGAGCGAACUCUCGUUAAGGAACUCGGCAAAAUGACCCCGUAACUUCGGGAGAAGGGGUGCUCUUUAGGGUUCACGCCCAGAAGAGCCGCAGUGAAUAGGCCCAAGCGACUGUUUAUCAAAAACACAGGUCUCUGCUAAACCGUAAGGUGAUGUAUAGGGGCUGACGCCUGCCCGGUGCUGGAAGGUUAAGAGGAGUGGUUAGCUUCUGCGAAGCCACAAAUCGAAGCCCCAGUAAACGGCGGCCGUAACUAUAACGGUCCUAAGGUAGCGAAAUUCCUUGUCGGGUAAGUUCCGACCCGCACGAAAGGCGUAACGAUUUGGGCACUGUCUCAACGAGAGACUCGGUGAAAUCAUAGUACCUGUGAAGAUGCAGGUUACCCGCGACAGGACGGAAAGACCCCGUGGAGCUUUACUGUAGCCUGAUAUUGAAAUUCGGCACAGCUUGUACAGGAUAGGUAGGAGCCAUUGAAACGUGAGCGCUAGCUUACGUGGAGGCGUUGGUGGGAUACUACCCUAGCUGUGUUGGCUUUCUAACCCGCACCACUUAUCGUGGUGGGAGACAGUGUCAGGCGGGCAGUUUGACUGGGGCGGUCGCCUCCUAAAAGGUAACGGAGGCGCUCAAAGGUUCCCUCAGAAUGGUUGGAAAUCAUUCACAGAGUGUAAAGGCAUAAGGGAGCUUGACUGCGAGACCUACAAGUCGAGCAGGGUCGAAAGACGGACUUAGUGAUCCGGUGGUUCCGCAUGGAAGGGCCAUCGCUCAACGGAUAAAAGCUACCCCGGGGAUAACAGGCUUAUCUCCCCCAAGAGUUCACAUCGACGGGGAGGUUUGGCACCUCGAUGUCGGCUCAUCGCAUCCUGGGGCUGUAGUCGGUCCCAAGGGUUGGGCUGUUCGCCCAUUAAAGCGGUACGCGAGCUGGGUUCAGAACGUCGUGAGACAGUUCGGUCCCUAUCCGUCGUGGGCGUAGGAAAUUUGAGAGGAGCUGUCCUUAGUACGAGAGGACCGGGAUGGACAUACCUCUGGUGUACCAGUUGUCGUGCCAACGGCAUAGCUGGGUAGCUAUGUAUGGACGGGAUAAGUGCUGAAAGCAUCUAAGCAUGAAGCCCCCCUCAAGAUGAGAUUUCCCAACUUCGGUUAUAAGAUCCCUCGAAGAUGACGAGGUUAAUAGGUUCGAGGUGGAAGCGUGGUGACACGUGGAGCUGACGAAUACUAAUCGAUCGAAGACUUAAUCAAU